UCAACCCCCCUUCCCCUAACACCCUCCCCCUUCGUUACUCAUUCAGAAUCAGAGUCAGAAAAGCAAAUCUUCAAAGUUCAAAACUUAGGGUUCUACCGGCGCCGUCCGUUGUUGUCAGUGCCUCCGCAGCCUCUUCCUUCCCUCUGUCCCGAACCCAGCCCCUCUUGUAGCUCGACACGUCAUCCCCAUCGUCCUGUGGCUUCUCUGGUUGAGGGUUGAAGUUGCUCGCUGUCGUGUUGCCGUCGCGCUCAAAUAGAGGAAGAAUCAUUGCAAGCGCCGUCGUUUCCUCCUCCUCUCGGUCAAGCCGUCAUCUGCUUCUCAGCCGUCCUACUUGCCGCGGUCCUUAUUGUCUGUGACCCUCAGUCACGCCGCAUCCUCUAUCCUAGGGGAGCAGCUCAAAGUUGGGAGUGGAGUAGCUUGCAGCAUUGAGAGUUGUUUUAUAAUUUAUUUAUUAUUUUAUUUUAAAACAGUUUUUUGGUUAGAUUAUGAUUGGACUAGUUGAACCAAUAAAUCAAUAAAUAGAACGGUUUGAUGAUCGAUCCGGUUCUCAGAA
Molecule: long non-coding RNA, 553 nt
Organism: Arachis stenosperma
Lineage: Eukaryota; Viridiplantae; Streptophyta; Magnoliopsida; Fabales; Fabaceae
Exons: 2
Source: RefSeq, a predicted model, not a curated record